RNAcentral lists this ribosomal RNA (798 nucleotides) under Enterococcus casseliflavus. RNAcentral's name for it is "bacterial SSU rRNA". It matches the Rfam family "Bacterial small subunit ribosomal RNA", at positions 94 to 873 of the family's 1533-position model. The record is from RNAcentral. Lineage: Bacteria; Bacillati; Bacillota; Bacilli; Lactobacillales; Enterococcaceae.
UACGGAACAGGGUUGAGGUAAACUUCGUGGGUAACCUGGCCAUCAAGAAGGGGAUAACGGUUGGAAACAGGUGCUAAUACCUGUAUAACACUAUUUUCCGCAUGGAAGAAAGUUGAAAGGCGCUUUUGCGUCACUGAUGGAUGGACCCGCGGUGCAUUAGCUAGUUGGUGAGGUAACGGCUCACCAAGGCAACGAUGCAUAGCCGACCUGAGAGGGUGAUCGGCCACACUGGGACUGAGACACGGCCCAGACUCCUACGGGAGGCAACACUAGGGAAUCUUCGGCAAUGGACAAAAGUCUGACCGACCAACGCCGCGUGAGUGAAGAAGGUUUUCGGAUCGUAAAACUCUGUUGUUAGAGAACAACAAGGAUGAGAGUAAAAUGUUCAUCCCUUGACGGUAUCUAACCAGAAAGCCACGGCUAACUACGUGCCAGCAGCCGCGGUAAUACGUAGGUGGCAAGCGUUGUCCGGAUUUAUUGGGCGUAAAGCGAGCGCAGGCGGUUUCUUAAGUCUGAUGUGAAAGCCCCCGGCUCAACCGGGGAGGGUCAUUGGAAACUGGGAGACUUGAAUGCAAAAGAGGAGAGUGGAAUUCCAUGUGUAGCGGUGAAAUGCGUAAAUAUAUGGAGGAACACCAGUGGCGAAGGCGGCUCUCUGGUCUGUAACUGACGCUGAGGCUCGAAAGCGUGCGGAGCGAACAGGAUUAGAUACCCUGGUAGUCCACGCCGUAAACGAUGAGUGCUAAGUGUUGGACGGUUUCCGCCCUUCAGUGCUGCAGCAAACGCUUUAAGCACUCCGCC